CUCCAAGGCUAAAUACUCCUGACUGACCGAUAGUGAACCAGUACCGUGAGGGAAAGGCGAAAAGAACCCCGGCGAGGGGAGUGAAAAAGAACCUGAAACCGUGUACGUACAAGCAGUAGGAGCCCCACCACCAAAGCGUUUCGCUUUGCGUGGUGCGCAAAAUGCGUAACGACAGCAUGAUGGACGGUUAACGGAGCGUCAGCGACGUUCAACGUCAAAAAUCAGGCAGUGGAGCGUUUUGGGGUGGGGUGACUGCGUACCUUUUGUAUAAUGGGUCAGCGACUUAUAUUCUGUAGCAAGGUUAACCGAAUAGGGGAGCCGCAGGGAAACCGAGUCUUAACUGGGCGUUAAGUUGCAGGGUAUAGACCCGAAACCCGGUGAUCUAGCCAUGGGCAGGUUGAAGGUUGGGUAACACUAACUGGAGGACCGAACCGACUAAUGUUGAAAAAUUAGCGGAUGACUUGUGGCUGGGGGUGAAAGGCCAAUCAAACCGGGAGAUAGCUGGUUCUCCCCGAAAGCUAUUUAGGUAGCGCCUCGUGAAUUCAUCUUCGGGGGUAGAGCACUGUUUCGGCUAGGGGGUCAUCCCGACUUACCAACCCGAUGCAAACUACGAAUACCGAAGAAUGUUAUCACGGGAGACACACGGCGGGUGCUAACGUCCGUCGUGAAGAGGGAAACAACCCAGACCGCCAGCUAAGGUCCCAAAGUCAUGGUUAAGUGGGAAACGAUGUGGGAAGGCCCAGACAGCCAGGAUGUUGGCUUAGAAGCAGCCAUCAUUUAAAGAAAGCGUAAUAGCUCACUGGUCGAGUCGGCCUGCGCGGAAGAUGUAACGGGGCUAAACCAUGCACCGAAGCUGCGGCAGCGACGCUUAUGCGUUGUUGGGUAGGGGAGCGUUCUGUAAGCCGUUGAAGGUGGCCUGUGAGGGUUGCUGGAGGUAUCAGAAGUGCGAAUGCUGACAUAAGUAACGAUAAUGCGGGUGAAAAACCCGCACGCCGGAAGACCAAGGGUUCCUGUCCAACGUUAAUCGGGGCAGGGUGAGUCGACCCCUAAGGCGAGGCCGAAAGGCGUAGUCGAUGGGAAACAGGUUAAUAUUCCUGUACUUGGUGUUACUGCGAAGGGGGGACGGAGAAGGCUAUGUUGGCCGGGCGACGGUUGUCCCGGUUUAAGCAUGUAGGCGGAUGUUCCAGGUAAAUCCGGAACGUCACUAACGCUGAGGUGUGAUGACGAGGCACUACGGUGCUGAAGUGACAAAUGCCCUGCUUCCAGGAAAAGCCUCUAAGCAUCAGGUAACAUCAAAUCGUACCCCAAACCGACACAGGUGGUCAGGUAGAGAAUACCAAGGCGCUUGAGAGAACUCGGGUGAAGGAACUAGGCAAAAUGGUGCCGUAACUUCGGGAGAAGGCACGCUGAUGGUAGGUGAAGUGACUUGCUCACGGAGCUGAAAUCAGUCGAAGAUACCAGCUGGCUGCAACUGUUUAUUAAAAACACAGCACUGUGCAAACACGAAAGUGGACGUAUACGGUGUGACGCCUGCCCGGUGCCGGAAGGUUAAUUGAUGGGGUUAUCCUC
RNAcentral lists this ribosomal RNA (1569 nucleotides) under Klebsiella oxytoca. Its description in RNAcentral is "partial 23S ribosomal RNA". It matches the Rfam family "Bacterial large subunit ribosomal RNA", at positions 458 to 1897 of the family's 2925-position model. Lineage: Bacteria; Pseudomonadati; Pseudomonadota; Gammaproteobacteria; Enterobacterales; Enterobacteriaceae. The record is from RNAcentral.